GACGAACGCUGGCGGCGUGCUUAACACAUGCAAGUCGAACGGAAAGGCCCUGCUUUUGUGGGGUGCUCGAGUGGCGAACGGGUGAGUAACACGUGAGUAACCUGCCCUUGACUUUGGGAUAACUUCAGGAAACUGGGGCUAAUACCGGAUAGGAGCUCCUGCUGCAUGGUGGGGGUUGGAAAGUUUCGGCGGUUGGGGAUGGACUCGCGGCUUAUCAGCUUGUUUGUGGGGUAGUGGCUUACCAAGGGUUUGACGGGUAGCCGGCCUGAGAGGGUAACCGGCCACAUUGGGACUAAGAUACGGACCAGACUCCUACGGGCGGCAACAGUCGGGAAUAUUGCGCAAUGGGCGGGAGCCUGAUACAGCAACGCCGCGUGCGGGAUGCCGGCCUUCGGGUUGUAAACCGAUUUCGACUGAGACAAAGCGUGAGUGACGGUAAUGGGUAAGAAAGCACCGGCUAACUACGUG
RNAcentral lists this ribosomal RNA (468 nucleotides) under uncultured bacterium. Its description in RNAcentral is "partial 16S ribosomal RNA". It matches the Rfam family "Bacterial small subunit ribosomal RNA", at positions 28 to 507 of the family's 1533-position model. The record is from RNAcentral.